Molecule: ribosomal RNA, 449 nt
Filed under: uncultured bacterium
Lineage: Bacteria
Description: bacterial SSU rRNA
Rfam family: Bacterial small subunit ribosomal RNA
Source: RNAcentral
CGCCAGACUCCUACGGGAGGCAGCAGUGGGGGAUAUUGCACAAUGGGGGGAACCCUGAUGCAGCGACGCCGCGUGGGUGAAGGAGUAUUUCGGUAUGUAAAGCUCUAUCAGCAGGGAAGAAAGAAAUGACGGUACCUGACUAAGAAGCCCCGGCUAACUACGUGCCAGCAGCCGCGGUAAUACGUAGGGGGCAAGCGUUAUCCGGAUCUACUGGGUGUAAAGGGAGCGUAGACGGUGAGACAAGUCUGAAGUGAAAGCCCGGGGCUCAACCCCGGGACUGCUUUGGAAACUGCCUGACUGGAGUGCUGGAGAGGCAAGCGGAAUUCCUAGUGUAGCGGUGAAAUGCGUAGAUAUUAGGAGGAACACCAGUGGCGAAGGCGGCCUGCUGGACGAUGACUGACGUUGAGGCUCGAAAGCGUGGGGAGCAAACAGGAUUAGAUACCCCAGUA